AUUGAACGCUGGCGGCAGGCCUAACACAUGCAAGUCGAGCGAGCGGCGGACGGGUGAGUAAUGUCUGGGAAACUGCCUGAUGGAGGGGGAUAACUACUGGAAACGGUAGCUAAUACCGCAUACCAUCAGAUGUGCCCAGAUGGGAUUAGCUAGUGGGUGGGGUAAAGGCUCACCUAGGCGACGAUCCCUAGCUGGUCGGCGAGGAUGACCAGCCACACUGGAACUGAGACACGGCCCAGACUCCUACGGGAGGCAGCAGUGGGGAAUAUUGCGCAAUGGGCGCAAGCCUGAUGCAGCCAUGCCGCGUGUGUGAAGAAGGCCUUCGGGUUGUAAAGCACUUUCAGCGGGGAGGCGUUACUCGCAGAGGAAGCACCGGCUAACUCCGUGCCAGCAGCCGCGGUAAUUC
Molecule: ribosomal RNA, 406 nt
Filed under: uncultured bacterium
Lineage: Bacteria
Description: partial 16S ribosomal RNA
Rfam family: Bacterial small subunit ribosomal RNA
Source: RNAcentral